UUGCUUCCGCUUUUUUAUUGUAAUAGGGCAGUAGUUAAAGCUAUGCUUCUAAAUUUAGCUACGGUUAGAAUAUUCCUAGUCAGUUUUAAGAGUGAUUGGCAGAAAUAAUUUUAUCGUACAGCUGUCAUGCUUCUGCGUUUUCAUUGCGGUUGUUUGUUAAAUUAGUGGCUUAUAGAAUAACUACGAAGUUUCAGCAAUGGCUGUGAUGGGCAUUCAGCUGGUGGUGAGUCUUCUGACGGCCAGCAUCAUGCAGAGAAUGGCACCACAUUGCUCUUUCGCUAGAUGGCUCCUUUGCAAUGGAAGCUUAUUUCGCUUCCGGCACCCAUCGGAAGAGGAGGUUCGAGCUUUAGCAGGAAAAGAAAAGCCCAGAUCUAAAAAAGACAGGUUAGU
This is a long non-coding RNA of Protopterus annectens (West African lungfish), 390 nucleotides long. RefSeq lists it as uncharacterized. Lineage: Eukaryota; Metazoa; Chordata; Ceratodontiformes; Protopteridae. The transcript is spliced from 3 exons. The record is from RefSeq and is a predicted model, not a curated record.